UGGUGGGUGACAUCCCCUUCACACAGCGGGUCUGCCAGGGAGCUGGGAUGUGACCCCAAGUAGUCUGGGAGCAGCUGCCCCCUAGCUGCUCCUCAGUGCAAACAAAGUGAUCCGCGGAGGGGCCCACAGGCUCAGGCCAGAGGGGACCCCAUCGGUGGCCCAGCAACCAGGGAACAAAGGUGCAGGUCCUGAUGGGUCCACACCCAGCAGCCUGGAGUCAGGGACGGGCUCCAGACCCGUGGCCCCGGCACCUCACGACCUCCCGGGCAUCUGCUCUGGAACAUAAGGGGGCGGCCUGCACCUCCCCAGCCCUCCCGGCUCCAAACUGCGGCAGUUACUUUGGGCCAAGGCGUGAGCCCCUCCUGCUGGGCCGCUGGCAGGGAGAACCUGGGCAGAGGCGCCAGCCCCUCUCCUGCCCCCGCGUGCUCGGGAGGGUGCUGGAUAGUGGCUGAGAAGGUGCCGGGCCGGGGCCGGGAGACCUGGCUUUGGCUCAGGUUCUGCUUCCACAGCUCAUGCUUGGCGUCUCCCGCCUCGUCGCUCGCAUCUGAUGGACCAAAGCGGGGUCCGCCAGCCACCCCGACUCUGCAGGGCCGGGGGGAGACCAGGCGAGGUGGCGGAUCCACACCGCCCUUGAGACUACGAGGAGUUGGGGCUGUGACGACCUCUUACCCUCUCUGUCACCUCACUCACUGAGGUGAGGACAGGACCUGAAGUGAGAGAAUGGCCACGGGGCUGGCAUGUCCCCCACAGUCACGUCACAGUCACCGCCUCGGGGGCCGGGGCCGGGAAGCCAAAUGGCAACCACACAAACUGCCUUCAGGUCACCGAGGUGAGGCAGAGGACACCCAGGUGCAGAAGCGGCUUUUCCUGCACUGACUCAUCGGGGCUUCAAAGGCAAAACCUCAGGGAGCCGACCCCAAAAUGACGAUUCAUCUGUUAAACAAUGAGCUUGUGCACCCACCGCGUACCAGACACUGGAGGACAGUGAGCUGCGGCAUCCCGGACCGCCCCGAACCCACAGAGCCGAGGGACCGUCGGGCCUCUCUGGGGACAGGACACGAAGAGAAGCAUGUUGGAGCGACAGCCAAAGUCCGACUGGGGAAUCUGGGGAGCCAAAGUCCUGAUGGAACAUGAGGCCACUGAGCAGGGACCAACGACUCAGCCCCAGGAAGAGCCGUGGGCACCUCAGAGCCCCAGAAAUCCCACUAGGGCCAGCGGCGACAGAGGCCAGGCUCCUGGGCGCAUCCGUGGGCGGAUGACACUCAGCCUGCAGCUCUUCCACAAGCCUCUGCAGUCUCCCUUUCUCCUGGAACGAGGUGCCUGCUGCGCUGAUCACCUUCGGCCUCUGUGGGAGCUUGCUUACCCCGUAAAUUAAGCAUUUCCUUCUCAGUGUGUGUCCCCAGUUCACUUGGGCCAGAGGCUCAGCAAACAUUUCUCAGCAUUUUGCCAAAGUUUCCCCUCUCAGUCUACGACACACAAGCAGCGACUGAAAUGUUAUCAGCUAGUCCUCAAGGCCAGGCCCUGGCUGGGGAAACCCAGAAGUGCAGGCGAGGCCCUGCGCUUAGGAAUUUAUAACCUAGUUAUUGAAACUUAAUAGCAUGAAGAUGCAGCCCGCCUGCAGCCCCGUCAUGCAGGAGCCGUGCGGAUACUGUGCUGAAUGCAGCCGGAGGGGGCGAGGUCACGCCCGGCCAGCACACGCUUCUUGGAAGAGGUGGCACUUGAUCUGACCUUGAAGGAUGAGCAGGAUGCGAGGGAUGGGAAGAAGGACAGAAGGCAUUCUGUGGACGCCAUGAGCAAAGCGUCACCCAUUGGUCUUGAUCACUGUCGCUGUGAUCCACGUAGGAGGAGAGGAAGCUUCAUCAGGCGCCAGCAGAAUGGACGAGGACACACACAUGAUUGUGUGAAGGAUGGGACGUCCUUGGGCUCAGAGGGCUGGGCUUCAUGUCAGUGACAUGAUCUGGGAUCUAAUUCUGGGCGUGCCAGACAGUGCCACAAUCUCUUCCCCCAUAAAAUAAAGGGACUGGGCAAGAUGACCUCUAAAGUUCUCUACCAUUCUGGAACAAGGGGAGAAAGAGAGACAGGUAACUCUGGACUUUGAGGACCAGUCCCAACAAGAGGAGGUGAGUCAGGAGGGGAAAUGGGUGUGGGAAGAAGACUUGAGUUUUAAGUAAGUCAGGCGGACCCCUUCGUGACCCUUCCCCUUCCUUUCACUGGUUCAUCUUGAGGGGACCUCGGCCACUUCCCACCUCCAGGGGAGCAUGACCCUGGCUGCGUCAAGGCCAGAGCACACGAGGAAGUGGCCUUUGCUCCAGAAACUUCAGAAGCUUCGUCCGCUUCUCCCUCAGGAAACAAACACUUCCUCAUCACCUACACAAUCUCGGUGUGCUCGCAGGUGAGGGGGAACUCCCCUAAACUGACGAGUUUCCAUCGCCCCAGGGGAACGGGCGCUUGGAACAGAAAGUCGCAGUGCUGAGAAAUGAACCGAAGUGUGCCCCCUGCAUGCUGUGUCGGGACCCAGCUGGGAGGGGUCGGCCAUGAGCAGAGAGGGGAGGCCCUUUCCGGCACCAGGAGCAGAUGUAGCCCCUUCUUCAUCCACGCAGGGCUUUGAGGUCUCAGAUGGGCCUGGGCCUGGGCCUGGGCCCGCGACCGCACGGGCGAGCUCACACAGGGCCGGCCUCAGCCCGUGGGGCCGCCACAGUCUGCGUCUGAUUUCAAGUCCUUGGCCUGCAGCACAAUCUGUUAAGAGUAAGUUGACACCAAACUGGCUUUCUCUAGAAAGCACCUGGAAACUGGCUUCCUCGGAGCGCAAGAGCAGGAUUUCUGUGGGGAGGAAGGCCCCUUCCAGGGUGGGCCUGAGCUUACAGUCCUCGGUCUCCAGUGACAGCCCCUGAAGGAAGAAGCCACGUCUUCAAGCUCAGGUGGUGGGAGUAGUUCGCUCAGCCUGGCCCAUGGAAUCCAGCACUUUACCUGAUCUUCUUGGCUCUGCUCUGAAAGGGGUGCCUUCCUCCUGCCACAGGUAGGCCCCCAUCACCUCCAGAGCCUGCCUCUCCGUCCACCUCUGCUCUGCUCAGAAAAAGUCUUCGCUUACUUCCAGAAUCAGGAGAGAGGUUGGAAACUGGGCCCAGUUAUCUCACGGACAUUUAUUCUCUCGUAGGAGCCUCUUUGGGGAGGGAAGAUGGGCUUCUGUCACUUUCCUUCCUUCCUUGGGACAAAAUGCACUGUUUCCUGCUCUUCGUUCGCAUCUGCAGUUGAUCCUGGAAUUGGUCACAGUGCUUUGUGUGGCCAGUACAUUAAGUGCAAUUCCAGACCCGAGAACAAAACAAUGGUUUGCUCUGUUUUCUCAG
This is a long non-coding RNA of Pteropus alecto (black flying fox), 3344 nucleotides long. RefSeq lists it as uncharacterized. The transcript has 2 exons. The record is from RefSeq and is a predicted model, not a curated record. NCBI's taxonomy places the organism in Eukaryota, Metazoa, Chordata, Mammalia, Chiroptera, Pteropodidae.